CUUGAAACAUCAGUUCUUGUCUGAUCACUGAAGUUAAGCAAUGUUGAACAUGAUCAGUAACCAGAUGGGUGACCACUUGGGAAUACCAGGUGCUGUAA
Molecule: non-coding RNA, 98 nt
Organism: Acanthosepion pharaonis
Lineage: Eukaryota; Metazoa; Mollusca; Cephalopoda; Sepiida; Sepiidae
Source: the annotation of a GenBank genome assembly